CUCUACCCCAUUCUAAAAUAUUUGUUUAACAAUUUUCAGCCUCUGCAAGAAGCAAAUAGAAAAAAAUAUCUGAAUGCGUCAAGAAGUAGCUCGGGGUCAAGUGAAAACAGAUGACUCUAUCGCGGUCAAGAACAUGUGGGUUCCCAACCGCAGAUUGUAGUAGAGAUGGAUGAAUUCAAAGACACCUGUCCCUCUUUUUGGGACUCCCUCUUCUCCCGUCUUAACUCAACCAGGAAAAACCAGGACCAGCUGUGGCUCAGAGAUGCAGUCAAGUGACAUACAUCACUUUUUACACCUCUUCCCUUAACCAAGACCAUGGCAAUUGGUCCCAACUGAAGUCGUAACAUGAUGACUACCUGUAUUAUGAACAUUCUCCUUCACCACCAAAUACGCUCCUGAAGAAAUUGCUUUUGGCGUCCAUUUCUUGUCUGGGGGUCAAAGUCAGGAAAAUGCUUCCAGAAAUUUGAAUGUCACGCAGGAUGAUCGUGCCCUGCAAGUUUCUGCCCUGAGUACCUGGCAUGUUAAGAAAGAACACCUCAAGAGCGCCCAGGGGAAAGACAUCAAGCGUGCUUUGGCCAACGGCCUUGCCAGCCAAGUUGAUACCUUCCAUCUGCCCAAAUGUCCACCCAUCCAUUGAUGAUGAAGUAAAAGAUGAUUCGGGAUCUGGAGGCUAAGUCUUACGACGAUUGAACUAGGCGUGUCUAGCCUAACCAAGAAAAGGAUUAGGAGUGUCAUGAUAGCUGUCUGCCAAUAGUUGAGGGGCUGCCAGAGAGAAAAGGGGGAUGGCCUAUUCUCCAAAGCAUCUGGAACAGGAUAAGAAGUAACCAACCGAAAAUCAUCAUGGAGGGAUCCAAGCUAGAAUGAUGGAUAAAUUUCCUGAUAGUGAGAACAAUGAAUCAGUGGAAAGGCUUGCCUCAGGCUAAUUGGAGAAUGUGAUU
Molecule: long non-coding RNA, 938 nt
Organism: Crotalus tigris (Tiger rattlesnake)
Lineage: Eukaryota; Metazoa; Chordata; Lepidosauria; Squamata; Viperidae
Exons: 3
Source: RefSeq, a predicted model, not a curated record